Small nuclear RNA from Suncus etruscus (white-toothed pygmy shrew), 105 nucleotides. The record is from RefSeq and is a predicted model, not a curated record. Lineage: Eukaryota; Metazoa; Chordata; Mammalia; Eulipotyphla; Soricidae.
GUGAUUACUUAGACAGCACAUACUAAAAUUAUAACAAUACAGAGAAGAUAAGCAUGGCUCUUUUGCAAGAAUGACAUGAAAAAUUGUGAAGCAUUCCAUAUUUUU